RNAcentral lists this ribosomal RNA (254 nucleotides) under uncultured bacterium. Its description in RNAcentral is "partial 16S ribosomal RNA". It matches the Rfam family "Bacterial small subunit ribosomal RNA", at positions 524 to 776 of the family's 1533-position model. The record is from RNAcentral.
UACGUAGGGGGCAAGCGUUGUCCGGAAUCAUUGGGCGUAAAGAGCGUGUAGGCGGCCCGAUAAGUCCGCUGUGAAAGUUCAGGGCUCAACCCUGGAAUGCCGGUGGAUACUGUCGGGCUCGAAUCCGGAAGAGGUGAGUGGAAUUCCUGGUGUAGCGGUGAAAUGCGCAGAUAUCAGGAGGAACACCAAUGGCGAAGGCAGCUCACUGGGACGGUAUUGACGCUGGAGACGCGAAAGCGUGGGGAGCAAACAGG